GACGCAGCGACGCCGCGUGGGUGACGAAGGCCUUCGGGUUGUAAAGCCCUGUGGGGUAGAACGAACUGGCAUCGGGCUAAUAUCCCGGUGUCUUGACGGUACUGCCUUAGCAAGCAUCGGCUAACUCUGUGCCAGCAGCCGCGGUAAGACAGAGGAUGCGAACGUUGCUCGGAUUUACUGGGCGUAAAGCGCGUGUAGGCGGUCUCGUUAGUCGGGUGUGAAAGCCCCGGGCUCAACCCGGGGAAGUGCACCCGAUACUGCGAGACUGGGGUACUGAAGAGGAGAGCGGAAUUCCCGGUGUAGAGGUGAAAUUCGUAGAUAUCGGGAGGAACACCAGUGGCGAAGGCGGCUCUCUGGGCAGAUACCGACGCUGAGACGCGAAAGCGUGGGGAGCAAACAGGAUUAGAUACCCUGGUAGUCCACGCUGUAAACGAUGACGACUGGGUGUUGCAGGUAUUGACCCCUGCGGUGCCGAAGCCAACGCGUUAAGUCGUCCGCCUGGGAAGUACGGCCGCAAGGCUAAAACUCAAAGGAAUUGACGGGGG
This 545-nucleotide ribosomal RNA is filed under the name uncultured bacterium. Its description in RNAcentral is "bacterial SSU rRNA". It matches the Rfam family "Bacterial small subunit ribosomal RNA", at positions 385 to 919 of the family's 1533-position model. The record is from RNAcentral.